UCUUGGAGGCCUGCCUGUCGAGCAGCUGGGUAUCAACAUGCAGAUGCUCCCACCUCACCCACCCUCAGCUUCUCUCUGUUCUGGUGUCUGCUCUGUGACUUAAAUCAGUUUUUUCCCUCCUCGGCCAGUGGAGCUUGAAGCUCUUCCUACCAUCUGGUAAAGGACUGUGGAAUGGCUAUGUGGCGGUGGCACAGGGAGAUGGAGCAUUGGAGGUGAGAUGAGGACAGCUAACGGUUUGUUUUGGAAGUAGUUGGCUCCGCACUCUUCCUGCAAGCAUACGUGAUUCAGACAGCCUUGGCUUGCAGCUCAACUUCGCAGGCACACGGCAAGUUUGCGUUUCCCCAUUCUGUGAUCGCUGGCAGAACCGUAUGACUUGCUUUGGCCAAAAGGUUGAUUCUUUGGGAUUUUGUGUCCCCAGACGGCUGGGGUCUGCUGUGGAGUUCGUUUUCCAGGGGCUACAGCUCAGUCUCAUCUUUAGCCACAUUUG
Non-coding RNA from Vicugna pacos (alpaca), 487 nucleotides. The record is from RefSeq and is a predicted model, not a curated record. NCBI's taxonomy places the organism in Eukaryota, Metazoa, Chordata, Mammalia, Artiodactyla, Camelidae.